UACGGAGGGUGCAAGCGUUGUUCGGAAUCAUUGGGCGUAAAGCGCGUGUAGGCGGCUUGGCAAGUCGGUUGUGAAAGCCCGGGGCCCAACCCCGGAACUGCAUCUGAAACUGCCUGGCUAGAGUCCCGGAGAGGAAGGCAGAAUUCCCGGUGUAGGGGUGAAAUCCGUAGAUAUCGGGAGGAAUACCAGCGGCGAAGGCGGCAUCCUGGACUGGUACUGACACUCAGGAGCGAAAGCGUGGGGAGCAAUCCGG
This 253-nucleotide ribosomal RNA is filed under the name uncultured bacterium. Its description in RNAcentral is "partial 16S ribosomal RNA". It matches the Rfam family "Bacterial small subunit ribosomal RNA", at positions 524 to 776 of the family's 1533-position model. The record is from RNAcentral.